Molecule: long non-coding RNA, 216 nt
Filed under: Glycine max (soybean)
Lineage: Eukaryota; Viridiplantae; Streptophyta; Magnoliopsida; Fabales; Fabaceae
Description: long non-coding RNA (GMAX_LNC001367)
Source: RNAcentral
UUUGCUUGUGAUGUAUGUGGGGUCUAGUUAACAAAAAUCUAGGGAAUUUAUUAUUGGGUUUGGGGUAAAGAAAUGGGAAUGUCAUUGCCUUUCACCAAUCAAGCAGCUGCUUAAUACACGUCUUCUUUGUCUCAACUGGCGCAUGUGCAAGUGUAGCUUUUUCUUUUCUUUUCUUUUUUAUUUUUAUUUUGUUGAAGUAAAAGGACUCCACUUGUU